RNAcentral lists this ribosomal RNA (468 nucleotides) under uncultured bacterium. RNAcentral's name for it is "partial 16S ribosomal RNA". It matches the Rfam family "Bacterial small subunit ribosomal RNA", at positions 28 to 507 of the family's 1533-position model. The record is from RNAcentral.
GACGAACGCUGGCGGCGUGCUUAACACAUGCAAGUCGAACGGAAAGGCCCUGCUUUUGUGGGGUGCUCGAGUGGCGAACGGGUGAGUAACACGUGAGUAACCUGCCCUUGACUUUGGGAUAACUUCAGGAAACUGGGGCUAAUACCGGAUAGGAGCUCCUGCUGCAUGGUGGGGGUUGGAAAGUUUCGGCGGUUGGGGAUGGACUCGCGGCUUAUCAGCUUGUUGGUGGGGUAGUGGCUUACCAAGGCUUUGACGGGUAGCCGGCCUGAGAGGGUGACCGGCAAAAUUGGGACGGAGAUACGGCCCAGACUCCUACGGGAGGAAGAAGUGGGGAAUAUUGCAAAAGGGGCGGAAGCCGGAUGCAGCAACGCCGCGUGCGGGAUGACGGCCUUCGGGUUGUAAACCGCUUUCGCAUGUGACGAAGCGUGAGUGACGGUAAUGGGUAAAGAAGCACCGGCUAACUACGUG